AGUAAAAGUCGUAACAAGGUUUCCGUAGGUGAACCUGCGGAAGGAUCAUUAAAUAUCGGUAGUUUACUAUCGUUUGAGGGGUGUGGAAACUGCCUUUAAAGCAGGAGUACGUGCCUUUUCUUAACCCUUGACUUUUUGCGCACUUGUGUUUCCUCGGCAGGCUUGCCUGCCGAUUGGACAAAUCAAUAACCUUUUUAAUUUUGAAUCAGCGUCUGAAUUAUUUUAAUAAUUACAACUUUCAACAACGGAUCUCUUGGUUCUGGCAUCGAUGAAGAACGCAGCGAAAUGCGAUAAGUAGUGUGAAUUGCAGAAUUCAGUGAAUCAUCGAAUCUUUGAACGCACAUUGCGCCCCUUGGUAUUCCAUGGGGCAUGCCUGUUCGAGCGUCAUUUGUACUCUCAAGCCUUGCUUGGUGUUGGGUGUUUGUCUAUGCUUAGCCUAGACUCGCCUUAAAUAUAUUGGCAGCCGGUAUACUGGCUUGAAGCGCAGCACAAUUGCAAUUCAGGUUGGCUUAUUAGCAUCCAUAAAGAUCAUCAACACUUUUGACCUCGGAUCAGGUAGGGAUACCCGCUGAACUUAAGCAUAUCAAUAAGCGGAGGAAAAGAAACCAACAGGGAUUGCCUUAGUAACG
RNAcentral lists this ribosomal RNA (629 nucleotides) under uncultured fungus. Its description in RNAcentral is "eukaryotic LSU rRNA". The stretch from base 234 to 387 matches the Rfam family "5.8S ribosomal RNA". The record is from RNAcentral. Lineage: Eukaryota; Fungi.